RNAcentral lists this ribosomal RNA (1343 nucleotides) under uncultured bacterium. RNAcentral's name for it is "16S ribosomal RNA". It matches the Rfam family "Bacterial small subunit ribosomal RNA", at positions 28 to 1378 of the family's 1533-position model. The record is from RNAcentral.
GACGAACGCUGGCGGCGUGCUUAACACAUGCAAGUCGAACGGAAAGGCCCUGCUUUUGUGGGGUGCUCGAGUGGCGAACGGGUGAGUAACACGUGAGUAACCUGCCCUUGACUUUGGGAUAACCUCAGGAAACUGGGGCUAAUACCGGAUAGGAGCUCCUGCUGCAUGGUGGGGGUUGGAAAGUUUCGGCGGUUGGGGAUGGACUCGCGGCUUAUCAGCUUGUUGGUGGGGUAGUGGCUUACCAAGGCUUUGACGGGUAGCCGGCCUGAGAGGGUGACCGGCCACAUUGGGACUGAGAUACGGCCCAGACUCCUACGGGAGGCAGCAGUGGGGAAUAUUGCACAAUGGGCGGAAGCCUGAUGCAGCAACGCCGCGUGCGGGAUGACGGCCUUCGGGUUGUAAACCGCUUUCGCCUGUGACGAAGCGUGAGUGACGGUAAUGGGUAAAGAAGCACCGGCUAACUACGUGCCAGCAGCCGCGGUGAUACGUAGGGUGCGAGCGUUGUCCGGAUUUAUUGGGCGUAAAGGGCUCGUAGGUGGUUGAUCGCGUCGGAAGUGUAAUCUUGGGGCUUAACCCUGAGCGUGCUUUCGAUACGGGUUGACUUGAGGAAGGUAGGGGAGAAUGGAAUUCCUGGUGGAGCGGUGGAAUGCGCAGAUAUCAGGAGGAACACCAGUGGCGAAGGCGGUUCUCUGGGCCUUUCCUGACGCUGAGGAGCGAAAGCGUGGGGAGCGAACAGGCUUAGAUACCCUGGUAGUCCACGCUGUAAACGGUGGGUACUAGGUGUGGGGUCCAUUCCACGGGUUCCGUGCCGUAGCUAACGCUUUAAGUGCCCCGCCUGGGGAGUACGGCCGCAAGGCUAAAACUCAAAGGAAUUGACGGGGCCCCGCACAAGCGGCGGAGCAUGCGGAUUAAUUCGAUGCAACGCGUAGAACCUUACCUGGGUUUGACAUGGAUCGGGAGUGCUCAGAGAUGGGUGUGCCUCUUUUGGGGUCGGUUCACAGGUGGUGCAUGGCUGUCGUCAGCUCGUGUCGUGAGAUGUUGGGUUAAGUCCCGCAACGAGCGCAACCCUUGUUCACUGUUGCCAGCACGUUAUGGUGGGGACUCAGUGGAGACCGCCGGGGUCAACUCGGAGGAAGGUGGGGAUGACGUCAAGUCAUCAUGCCCCUUAUGUCCAGGGCUUCACGCAUGCUACAAUGGCUGGUACAGAGAGUGGCGAGCCUGUGAGGGUGAGCGAAUCUCGGAAAGCCGGUCUCAGUUCGGAUUGGGGUCUGCAACUCGACCUCAUGAAGUCGGAGUCGCUAGUAAUCGCAGAUCAGCAACGCUGCGGUGAAUACGUUCCCGGG